RNAcentral lists this unclassified non-coding RNA (1818 nucleotides) under uncultured fungus. RNAcentral's name for it is "sequence contains 18S rRNA gene, ITS1, 5.8S rRNA gene, ITS2, 28S rRNA gene". The stretch from base 596 to 1818 matches the Rfam family "Eukaryotic large subunit ribosomal RNA", at positions 1 to 961 of the family's 3401-position model. Lineage: Eukaryota; Fungi. The record is from RNAcentral.
GGAAGGAUCAUUCAUGUGUUAACUCACUAUUUACACACUGUGUUGUCGUUCCUUCUUGUGUGUGUGUGAUUUGCACAUGCCGUGUGCAAAUCACACACAUGCACUUUAUCAUACCCAUGGUUAAACAACAUAUCGAUAGACUGAUACAUGUGAAACAAACAAACAACAAACACAACUGUUGGCAACGGAUCACUCGGCUCUCGUGUCGAUGAAGAGCGUAGCGAAUUGCGAAAAGUAAUGCGACUUGCAACCUUUGUGAAUCAUCGAAUCCUUGAACGCACCUUGCACCGUUCGGUCGCCUCUUGUUAGGCCUGAACGGUCUGCCUGUCUGAGUGUCGUCUUCAAUCUACUCUCGACAUGGCUUGUCUGUGUCGUUCGUCCAUCUGCAUCUGCGGAUGGCGAGCGAGCGAGCAAGCCAUGUGGUGGAUCAAUGAGGGCCUCUUUGCAUUGUGGUGCAUGCAUAUGCAUGCACUGUGCAUCCCUUGAAAUGUGCUGCUUUGCAUCGUGUGUUACACACGCUCUUUCUCUUUUCGACAAGAAAACGUUGUGAAGGGUGUGUGUGCAAUCAACAACACGAUCAUCAUCAUCAUCAUAGCGAUCUCAGAUCAGGUAGGACGACUUCCUAAACUUAAGCAUAUUAGUCAGGAAAGGAAAAGAAACCAACAGGGAUUCCCUUAGUAACGGCGAGUGAAGCGGGAAUAGCUCAGAUUUAAAAUCGGGUCAUUGCCUUGUGCUAGAAUGGUCCCGACGUGUAAUUUGAUGAUGUGUCAUCGGCGGAGCGGGCAGGUCAAAGUCCUCUGGAAAGGGGCAUCACGGAGGGUGACAAUCCCGUCCAUGGCCUGUCUUUCAUACGCUCUGCCAUACUGUGAUGGCGCGUCGGCGAGUCGGGUUGUUUGGGAAUGCAGCCCAAAGCGGGUGGUAAACUCCAUCUAAGGCUAAAUACUGGCGAGAGACCGAUAGCGAACAAGUACCGUGAGGGAAAGUUGAAAAGCACUCUGAAGAGAGAGUUAAACAGUACGUGAAAUUGCCAACAGGGAAACGAUGGGCGUCAGUACGCGCUGCGUUCGUGGUGUCAAACGGCCCGUACGCCGUGCCGAGUGUCGAGACAGUGUGUGUGUCAUCACACCACGCUCGGCAUUGUGGCGCGACGUGCAACGUUGCAUUACCACGCGUGGCGGGUCAGCAUCGGUUGUGCACAGGCGGGUAACACAGGUCGCGUGCAAGGUGUCAACGCUUUCAUCGGCGUUGACCUUAUAGGCCGUGGCUUUGGCUAUGCCUGGACGACUGAGGAGCAAUAUGCGCGAUCCGCGCCUUUCACUCGUGGAAGGCGGGGCGCGUGUCUGUUGAUCGGUGUGUGGUGCGUCGUGUUAGACAACCUGGUUGACCAUUGCAUGACUCGCACUGCGCUGCCCAAUGACACGCGCCGCCAGCGGAGGAUCAAGGAUGCUGACGAAAUGGCGCUCAACGACCCGUCUUGAAACACGGACCAAGGAGUCCAACUGGCGUGCGAGUGUUUGGGUGUGUAAAACCCGAACGCGAAAUGAAAGUGACCCAUGGUGCCACGUCCUCGGCGACGGGGACUGCAGCACCGACCGACCUAUACGUGGCGCAUUGUGCGUGCCUUCGGGUGCGCAAUGACCACAGGUUUGCGUAAGAGCACGCCGGCUGGGACCCGAAAGAUGGUGAACUAUGCUUGAGCAGGAUGAAGCCAGAGGAAACUCUGGUGGAGGUCCGUAGGGGUUCUGACGUGCAAAUCGAUCUCUUGACUUGAGUAUAGGGGCGAAAGACUAAUCGAACCAUCUGGUAGCUGGUUGCUGC